This is a long non-coding RNA of Perca flavescens (yellow perch), 413 nucleotides long. RefSeq lists it as uncharacterized. The record is from RefSeq and is a predicted model, not a curated record. Lineage: Eukaryota; Metazoa; Chordata; Actinopteri; Perciformes; Percidae. The transcript is spliced from 3 exons.
UCUAGGCAACAGAAGAAACCCUCGGUUACAUUAGUACACAAACAUCUGACCGGAAGUUGUUGGUACGACCCGUAAUACCGUCCGUCCCCGGAACUAACGUUAACUGUUUGUGUGUUACAUCGUGGUGAGGACGGCGGAGUAAAAGGCGCCAGUCUUUAGUUUCCUAAGAAGAAAGAAACUGCUGGAUGUGGUUUUAAAAGCUGAAACGAAGCUACACAGAGCAGGUCGGGGAGAAGAGGAGCAGAGCCGCGAGGAACUUUAACAUGAAGUCUGAGAGGAAGCUGUCAGCGUACCAGGGGACAGCUUUACCUCAAGAUGUCCUGGAAGUGAUUGUUGGUGAAGAGGAGCAGCAGGAGUGUAGCUCCAGUGUGGACCAGCAGGAGCCAGAGCCCCCCCCACACAUUAAAGAGGAA